UCCCAGACUCCUACGGGAGGCAGCAGUGGGGAAUAUUGGGCAAUGGGCGAAAGCCUGACCCAGCAAUGCCGCGUGAAUGAAGAAGGUCUUAGGAUUGUAAAAUUCUGUCCUAUGGGAAGAAACAAAUGACGGUACCAUAGGAGGAAGCCCCGGCUAACUACGUGCCAGCAGCCGCGGUAAUACGUAGGGGGCAAGCGUUAUCCGGAAUUAUUGGGCGUAAAGAGUACGUAGGUGGCAACCUAAGCGCAGGGUUUAAGGCAAUGGCUCAACCAUUGUUCGCCCUGCGAACUGGGAUGCUUGAGUGCAGGAGAGGAAAGCGGAAUUCCUAGUGUAGCGGUGAAAUGCGUAGAUAUUAGGAGGAACACCAGUGGCGAAGGCGGCUUUCUGGACUGUAACUGACACUGAGGUACGAAAGCGUGGGGAGCAAACAGGAUUAGAUACCCCAGUA
RNAcentral lists this ribosomal RNA (448 nucleotides) under uncultured bacterium. Its description in RNAcentral is "partial 16S ribosomal RNA". It matches the Rfam family "Bacterial small subunit ribosomal RNA", at positions 329 to 792 of the family's 1533-position model. The record is from RNAcentral.